This 627-nucleotide ribosomal RNA is filed under the name Triticum aestivum (bread wheat). Its description in RNAcentral is "partial small subunit ribosomal RNA". The record is from RNAcentral. Lineage: Eukaryota; Viridiplantae; Streptophyta; Magnoliopsida; Poales; Poaceae.
AUGGAGAAGUACUCGUCGAGCGGGGCGAAGGAGGUGCUAAUAAAGGUCAUGCCGCAAGCUUUGCCAACUUAUGCCACAAGUAUUUUCAAAUUUCGCGCUGACCUCACAAAGGAAUGGACAAAGAUUGUGCCUGACUUCUGGUGGGGUGAUGAGCAUGAAAGGCGAAAGAUGCAUUGGCUUGCUUGGGACAAGGUGGUGUGGCAAAAGGCUUAUGGUGGAAUGGGCUUCCGUGAACUCCAUGUUUUUAAUCAAGCAUUGCUGGCAUGUCAAGCAUGGUCUCUAAUACAAUACCCAAAAAGUUUGUUUGCUCACAUUCUAAAGGCCAAGUACUACCCGAAUGAACUAGAGGAUGGACACCAUGCCAUUGCAUGUUGCAAUACAGCGAGAGCAUUGAGGGAUGGCAUGCGCAGGAAUUUUAUACCGCCUAAGUCUUUGCAUGUUUGUAUGAUCAGAUUUGAAGAGAAGACAAGCUUGACACGUGGAGCUAAAGAACUGCCGCAAGAAGAAUGCCUACAGAUGUCCAAUAUCACCAAGUGCAUGAGGGAGGAGAGGGAGGCAGGUGCACAACAUAAAGAGAAGGAAAAUCAGCACCAGAUUCAAAUUGAUUGCCAGGAGGCCCGAAAUUGA